CAAUAGCGUAUAUUAAAGUUGUUGCGGUUAAAAAGCUCGUAGUUGGAUUUCUGCCGAGGACGACCGGUCCGCCCUCCGGGUGAGUAUCUGGUUUGGCCUGGGCAUCUUCUUGGAGAACGUAGCUGCACUUGACUGUGUGGUGCGGUGUCCAGGACUUUUACUUUGAGGAAAUUAGAGUGUUUCAAGCAGGCACACGCCUUGAAUACAUUAGCAUGGAAUAAUAAGAUAGGACCUCGGUUCUAUUUUGUUGGUUUCUAGAGCUGAGGUAAUGAUUAAUAGGGAUAGUUGGGGGCAUUCGUAUUUAACUGUCGGAGGUGAAAUUCUUGGAUUUGUUAAAGACGGACUACUGCGAAAGCAUUUGCCAAGGAUGUUUUCAUUGA
RNAcentral lists this ribosomal RNA (380 nucleotides) under uncultured eukaryote. RNAcentral describes it as "partial 18S ribosomal RNA". It matches the Rfam family "Eukaryotic small subunit ribosomal RNA", at positions 592 to 976 of the family's 1831-position model. The record is from RNAcentral.